ACACUUUUAGGAUAUUUAAAUCUUUAUAUCUUUUAAAUAUAAGAAGCUUUAGCAAUGUGUU
Molecule: transfer RNA, 61 nt
Filed under: Histiostoma feroniarum
Lineage: Eukaryota; Metazoa; Arthropoda; Arachnida; Sarcoptiformes; Histiostomatidae
Description: tRNA-Lys
Source: RNAcentral